Clupea harengus (Atlantic herring) is the source of this 2612-nucleotide long non-coding RNA. The record is from Ensembl. Lineage: Eukaryota; Metazoa; Chordata; Actinopteri; Clupeiformes; Clupeidae.
CUUCUCUUCUCACAGCAGGAUCCCUAAGCAGCCACAUAGCGGACCCUGACCAACGCAGGUGAAUACACUCUCUCCUCACACAGUAACAGCAGUCAGACUGAGGAUAUAUUUAUCCUCGGUAAACGGUGACGGAGCGAUGGAUGACUGGAGAUACGAAGAAAGAGUAAAGCUGGAGCUGGUUUUGAAGAGUACAGUACUGCAUAUUCUGUAUUCAUUGGUGACACUACUGGUCAUUACAGGUUAUUGCAACUGUAAAUAUUACAAGUGAUAAUAAAUACCAUAAUAAGUGACAUAGCCUGUUAUAAUACUUUCAGUAUUGAAUAACGGUCCUGUAUAUUAAGUUGUCUGACAGCAGUGUUGGCAAAGCAUACAGACACUCAAAAUAGAAAGGACACUAAUUUCACCACACGACACCCCAUCUAUUACUCUGGGAUGAGUCAUAGCAGCAAGACUUAAAAUUCUUUAAUCAUUCUUGAAUGACAGCAGACAGCAACCAUACAGAGCAGACAGCAUUGUAUUGUAUAUAAUCUGCCAUGGCAGUCAUCCAACCACAUAAAAGGCAGGAGAACACAAGGCUUCUGUGGUCGGGCGGCUUGCACUGAGUGGCACAGAUAGAAAUAUGUCACAAGCAUCAAAUCUAUUCAUAUAAUGAUUAACAAAAACAUUGAGAGAUCGUGAAAAGAGUUCUCUUAUAAAAAGGAACUGAUUCAUGUCUGACUGAUCUGCACUGAUUAACGUGCAGGUCACUGGUAAAGAGGAGAGUAUAGUUCUAUUUACAUUUAUUUCAUUCGUUUGAUUUCACACGCUUUCAUUUUUCACAAAAUGGAGAAUAUUGGAACGUCCAUCCCUGAUGAGCUGUGAACAAGCCCUUCCUGACACCCCACUCUCACUGCUUAGGAUCAGAACUGACUGCUGAAGGAGCUCUUCCUUCCUGACACCCCACUGUACCUGCUUAAGGCCCCGUCACACCAUAACGUUCUGGUGUGACGGGGCCUUUAGGAUCAGAACUGACUGCUGAAGGAGCUCUUCCUUCCUGACACCCUCACUCUACCUGCUUAGGAGCAGAACUGACUGCUGAACAGCCUCUAGUGACUGCUCUCUCAGUUCUUCAGACUUUGUAAAUAUAUUAUUUAUGGCUUACCUCCCAUAGAGAGUUUUGUGGAAAGGUGUGGGAGAUUAACGGUGUGGGAGAUUAAAGGUGUGGGAGAUUAAAGGUGUGGGAGAUUAAAGGUGUGUGAGAUUAAAGGUGCAGGGAUUAAAGGUGAGGGAGAUUAAAGGUGUGGGAGAUUUUCUUCUAACUGAUAAGUGGUAAGCAAUAAUAAAUAAAUAAAAACAACAAUGCAGCCAAUUUCUAAAACAAUAACAUCUCCCAGAUCACAUCACUUGUAUUACUUUAGAAAUUAAGAGCUGAUUAGGAAUAUGUGUGUGUCUGUGUGUCUCUCUGUGUGUGUGUGUGUGUGUGUGUGUGUGUGUGUGUGUGUGUGUGUGUGAGUGUGUGUGUGUGUGCACAUACAUGCUUAUGAAGCAGUCUCUGAAAGUGUAUUUACAGUACAAUAUCUUCGUGCAACAUCAAAGAGGCCUACAAACCUACUUGGAUCAAUGUAUUUAGCAAGACUAUAACUCUAUGGUAAACCCAUAUGGAUACAGUCUCUCAUCACUACAAUGAUCCAAAUUUAGCAAGAGAAAGAAGUUAAUGAAAUUCUAGAGUUCAUGAAAUGAUUCUGUCUCUUUUCUUCCAUUCAUGAAAGCACCGCAAUGCAUUUUUUGGACAUCAGACCAUAAAUUCCAAACGCCAGAAAAUGGCUGCCUGGAAAUCCAGCUUGCGAAAGUCCAUUCCUGUCACACAUCCUGCGAAAGUCCAUUCCUGUCACACAUCCUGCUUUGGUAUGUCCUCACUGGUCCAUGAAUGUUUGCAGCCAUAUGAUGCAAAUAUCAAAAGUGAAGUCUUCGUAUGCAUUUUUGUCACAUAUUGCCACCGAUCAUAAAUUGUAGAGUGAAAAAUGAAAUAAAAUACAAAGAUCACAGAGUGGAUAUAUUGGAUAACUUAAUAAAGUGGAUCAAAUGGUUCUUUGUAGAGCCCAGAGGAACACUGAUGCUUAUUUUAGAGUUCUACAGUCUGUCUGUUUUUCUGGGCUAUUCUGGAAUGUUCUUGAAUAUUCCAAUUAGCAUUGAGACACCUCCAGUUCGCGGUGUUCCGCUGUCUCCUCCUCUGGAAUGUCCUGCAGAUCUGAAACACAAUGAGGAAUCUUCAAAAGGACAUCUCCACAAUUAGUUAUGGCAACUACCCUAAACACAAGCAUACAGUUAUCAAAUAUGUGAACAAUGCUUAGCACAACGAGCUAACGUUAAGUAAAUACCUUGCAGAAAUGAGUGGAACUCUUUUGGAACAUUCUGUCAUAUACUAAAACGACAUAUAAAUGAAUUAAACAACUGAGCUAAAUUAACAAAAUGGCGGUAAUUUUAGGUCUAGUUUGUAUGUCAGAAUAUGGUCAUGACUCAUGUGUGGCCAAGAGGGAGCCAUAAGAACUUGAUGGCUGGAAGUCAAGCACCUGCAGACUCAGACUGCUCAGUGUCAGCCCUCUGUCUCUGUAUCCAGAGGCUGGUAUCACGGA